Cercocebus atys (sooty mangabey) is the source of this 2473-nucleotide RNA transcript. It is a transcript of the gene named tumor necrosis factor receptor superfamily, member 18, with no coding region annotated. The record is from RefSeq and is a predicted model, not a curated record. The transcript has 4 exons. NCBI's taxonomy places the organism in Eukaryota, Metazoa, Chordata, Mammalia, Primates, Cercopithecidae.
GGUGCGGCCCUGGGCGCCUCCUGCUCGGGACGGGAAGGGAUGCACGCUGCUGCCGCGUUCACCCGACGCGCUGCUACCGCGAUUACCAGGGUCCUGCUGGGUGGGUCCUGAACCCUCGGCCAUCGCCCAGCUCCCCCUGCACCGCCGUCUGGCCUGCUGCCUGCCUCUGACCUGCACCUGGGGGUAAGGGUUCAACUGACACGGCCGGCCCGGAGAGGAAGUCACCUCAGAACUUCUUCCUCCAGGGUUGGAAAGGGAGGCUCUGUCCGGAGGCCCAGUGUGGCUGGUGGGGACAGCGGCGCCUGGAGACCAGGCAGGCAGCCUCUGAGGUGUCCACGGGCCUCCAGGGGGCUUUGCACUGUUGGGGGCCAUCCCUGGGUCCCGCAGGGGCAGCCCCUGGUGGCAUGUGCAGUCAGCGCCUGGGCAGAGGCAGCUGUGGGACACAAAGGGGGAGCAGCCCCAGGCCACACGGUCCCAGGAGAGAGAGACACCUGGACAAACCCAGCGUCCGGACUCCCAGCCAGGAGCCCUCCGCUCCCUGGAGCCGACUGUGGGUGGGGAACGGACAACCCCGCUCCCCUGGAGGGCCGAGGAGGGGCCUCAGCCCAGCUGCUGGGGGCCUGGCUUGUCUCCUGCCCAGGCGAGGAGUGCUGCUCCGAGUGGGACUGCGUGUGUGUCCAGCCUGAAUUCCACUGCGGAAACCCUUGCUGCACGACCUGCCAGCACCACCCUUGCCCCUCAGGCCAGGGGGUGCAGCCCCAGGGUAAGUCCUGGAGGUGCCUGUGAGCGUCCACACAGGCCAGGGGGUCCACUAGGGCCCGAGGCAGAGCUCGUGGGCGCAGGAGUCCGGCAUGUGUGGUGUGUGGGGUCCUGGGUCCUGUGAGGCCAGGCAGCCCAGGCCAUGCUCGGGCACCACGGGCCAUGCAACUCCAGGAGUGUCUCGUCCCCCUUUUCUCGGCCUGGGCUUUUCCAUCCAGCACGAGGACUGUGAGAACCCUGCGGGGGGUGGGGAGCUGUCUGGCUCUCAAGCCUGGGACACCCAUCCUGUCUGUCCUCAGCGAAUACCGAGCAAGCCUGCCCUGUGCCCCCCGAGUCCUGUCUGGGCCCCGAGCCUGCCCUGUGCCCCCCGAGUCCUGUCUGGGCCCCGAGCCUGCCCUGUGCCCCCCGAGUCCUGUCUGGGCCCCGAGCCUGCGCUGUGCCCCCCGAGUCCUGUCUGGGCCCCGGGGCUACACCUCCUCCUGGAACGAGCAGCUCAGGUCCUCUUGGCGGCUUGUUUACCUGACGGGAGGGGCCAGGCUGGGCACAUGGGGGCUGUGAGGAGGUAGAACUGGGGAGGUUGUGUGAGGUUGGACAGGGCAGGGUCUGGGGUCAGCUGGGACCCAGCCUCACUCUUUCUGGGACCCUCUGUUCUACUGAGUCCUGCCUGGCCUCUGCCCGCCCUCAGCCCCCAAUGGGCAGGCCCAGUGCACUCUGCGCUCCUCCCCCAGGUGCCCUCCCCAGGUCCCACCCCAGACGCCCCAUCUGGGAUGGGCAGACGCGGGCACUGACAUGCAGGGCCCCAGUCCUGGGCCAUCAAGAACUCUGUUGAAUGGAUGAUGUGGGGGGGCAUUCGACUCAGCAGCCAGACCCCAGAUGGACCCCUGCACUGGCCUGACUCCAUCCUCAUCCAUCCCAGCAACUCCAGCAGCUUCCCUCCCUCCUUCCCUCCCUAAUCCCCCGACCCCGCACCAGGGAAAUUCAGUUUUGGCUUCAGGUGUGUCGACUGUGCCUUGGGGACCUUCUCCAGGGGCCACGACGGCCACUGCAAACCUUGGACAGACUGCACCCAGUUUGGGUUUCUCACCGUGUUCCCUGGAAACAAGACCCACAACGCCGUGUGCGUCCCAGGGUCCCCGCCGGCAGAGCCGCCUGGGUGGCUGACCAUCGUCCUCCUGGCCGUGGCCGCCUGCGUCCUCCUCCUGACCUCGGCCCAGCUUGGACUGCACAUCUGGCAGCUGAGGAGUCAGCCCACGGGGCCCCGAGAGACCCAGCUACUGCUGGAGGUGCCGCCGUCGACCGAAGAUGCCAGCAGCUGCCAGUUCCCUGAGGAGGAGCGGGGCGAGCGGCUGGCAGAGGAGAAGGGGCGGCUGGGAGACCUGUGGGUGUGAGCCUGGCCAUCCUCCUGGGCCACCGACUGCAGCCAGCCCCUCCCUAGGAGCUCCCCGGGCUCCGAAUUCUGCUCUGGGCCGGGCCCGGCUGCCCUGGCAGCAGAAGUGGGUGCAGGAAGGUGGCAGUGAGCAGCGCCCUGGACCAUGCAGGUCGGCGGCCACAACUGGGCCCUGCAAGAGUGAGAGAGAGACACAGCCAUGGCCCCCUUCCUCCCUUACGGCACUGCUGGGGUGGGGUCUUAGGACGGGAGGCUGUGCCCGCGGGUGUGCAGUGCCCAGGACAGGACCCGGCUGCUUGGGGCCUUCAAUAAACACUCGUCCAGUGA